CCUACGGGAGUCAGCAGUGAGGAAUAUUGGUCAAUGGGCGCGAGCCUGAACCAGCCAAGUCGCGUGAGGGAAGACGGCCCUAUGGAUUGUAAACCUCUUUUGUCGGGGAGUAAAAGAAGCCACGCGUGGCUUUCUGCGAGUACCCGAAGAAAAAGCAUCGGCUAACUCCGUGCCAGCAGCCGCGGUAAUACGGAGGAUCCGAGCGUUAUCCGGAUUUAUUGGGUUUAAAGGGUGCGGAGGGGGGAAGUUAAGUCAGGGGGGAAAAUUGGGGGCUUAAACGUCUCCGAGCCGUUGAAACUGGUUUUCUUGAGUGAGGGAGAAGUAUGCGGAAUGCGUGGUGUAGCGGUGAAAUGCAUAGAUAUCACGAAGAACUCCGAUUGCGAAGGCAGCAUACCGGCGCUCAACUGACGCUCAUGCACGAAAGUGUGGGUACCGAACAGGAUUAGAUACCCGAGUAGUC
RNAcentral lists this ribosomal RNA (460 nucleotides) under uncultured bacterium. RNAcentral describes it as "partial 16S ribosomal RNA". It matches the Rfam family "Bacterial small subunit ribosomal RNA", at positions 338 to 795 of the family's 1533-position model. The record is from RNAcentral.